UGCAUCCCGAAUAUGACUCUGGAUAUAAAAUGAUGUCAAAUACAAUAUCAUACUCAUAUUUCUCUUAAUUUUAAAUGAUGAUUAGAUUAAUAAAAUAUUAAAAAAAAUUUUAAUUUUUAUUUUGCUUUGAUCAAAGGCUUCUUGAAUCAUCAAUCGAUCAGAGCAAGUAGGAUGCGAUCUCUUCUUAUUAGGAGUGACCGAUUCCAUGUUGACCUACUCACAACCUCCAUACA
RNAcentral lists this long non-coding RNA (233 nucleotides) under Elaeis guineensis (African oil palm). RNAcentral describes it as "long non-coding RNA (EGUI_LNC042488)". The record is from RNAcentral. Lineage: Eukaryota; Viridiplantae; Streptophyta; Magnoliopsida; Arecales; Arecaceae.